GACGAACGCUGGCGGCGUGCCUAAUACAUGCAAGUAGAACGCUGAAGGAGGAGCUUGCUCUUCUGGAUGAGUUGCGAACGGGUGAGUAACGCGUAGGUAACCUGCCUGGUAGCGGGGGAUAACUAUUGGAAACGAUAGCUAAUACCGCAUAAGAGUAGAUGUUGCAUGACAUUUACUUAAAAGGUGCAAUUGCAUCACUACCAGAUGGACCUGCGUUGUAUUAGCUAGUUGGUGGGGUAACGGCUUACCAAGGCGACGAUACAUAGCCGACCUGAGAGGGUGAUCUGCCACACUGGGACUGAGACACGGCCCAGACUCCUACGGGAGGCAGCAGUAGGGAAUCUUCGGCAAUGGACGGAAGUCUGACCGAGCAACGCCGCGUGAGUGAAGAAGGUUUUCGGAUCGUAAAGCUCUGUUGUAAGAGAAGAACGAGUGUGAGAGUGGAAAGUUCACACUGUGACGGUAUCUUACCAGAAAGGGACGGCUAACUACGUG
This 495-nucleotide ribosomal RNA is filed under the name uncultured bacterium. Its description in RNAcentral is "partial 16S ribosomal RNA". It matches the Rfam family "Bacterial small subunit ribosomal RNA", at positions 28 to 507 of the family's 1533-position model. The record is from RNAcentral.